Molecule: ribosomal RNA, 390 nt
Filed under: Triticum aestivum (bread wheat)
Lineage: Eukaryota; Viridiplantae; Streptophyta; Magnoliopsida; Poales; Poaceae
Description: partial small subunit ribosomal RNA
Source: RNAcentral
AUGCUGAAACGACGCCACUAUGACAUCAGUGAUGAUCACAGUUGCCUUCUUUGUGGGGGCCCAGAUGAAGAGACGGUGGACCAUAUGAUUUUUACGUGCCCUUUCAGUCAAGCCUGUUGGAGUCAACUUGGGAUCGUCUGGCCGAGAUUCGACUGCCGUCUACACGUUUUGCAAACCACCAAGGACUCCUGGAGCGGUCCUCUAUUCCUUGACAUUUUCCUUGUGGCAGCUUGGAGCUUAUGGAAGGAAAGAAACAACAAGCAUUUUAGAAGGGUGGACCCUUCCAUCAACUCCUGGCUUCGGAGGUUCAAGGAAGAUUUUGGACUACUACAGCACAGAACCAAGAGGGCUCACUCUGUCCUCAUAACUUCCUACUUAGCUGAUCUUUGA